GUAAUUUAAUUAUAACGAUAAAUAAAAGAUUAGCACGACCCUUACGCAAGGAGGACACACACAAAUUAAGAAAUGAUCCAAUUAUUU
RNAcentral lists this small nuclear RNA (87 nucleotides) under Capsicum annuum. Lineage: Eukaryota; Viridiplantae; Streptophyta; Magnoliopsida; Solanales; Solanaceae. The record is from RNAcentral.